RNAcentral lists this ribosomal RNA (388 nucleotides) under Orthotomicus mannsfeldi (European pine engraver). Its description in RNAcentral is "partial 16S ribosomal RNA". Lineage: Eukaryota; Metazoa; Arthropoda; Insecta; Coleoptera; Curculionidae. The record is from RNAcentral.
CUUCUUCUUCGAUUUGAACUCUUAGAAAAAAUAACGCUGUUAUCCCUAAGGUAAUUUUUUCUUUUAAUCUUUGAUAAGGAUCAUCAAAUUCACCCAUUAGUGUAAAAAUUUAAAAAAAGUUAAUCAAAUUUUUCAAUCACCCCAAUCAAAUAAAUAACCACUUAAAAAAAUAAAAAUUCUAUAAUUUCUUCUUUUAAACCAUUUUAUUUAUAAAACUCUAUAGGGUCUUCUCGUCUUUUAUAAAAAUUUAAGCUUUUUUACUUAAAAAUAAAAUUCUAAACUUUAAAUUGAGACAGUUAGCUUUUCAUCAAACCUUUCAUUCCAGCUUCUAAUUAAGAAACUAAUGAUUAUGCUACCUUAGCACAGUCAAAUUACCGCGGCCAUUUAA